Molecule: ribosomal RNA, 486 nt
Filed under: uncultured bacterium
Lineage: Bacteria
Description: bacterial SSU rRNA
Rfam family: Bacterial small subunit ribosomal RNA
Source: RNAcentral
AGAGUUGAUCCUGGCUCAGGAUUAACGCUGGCGGCAUGCCUAAUACAUGCAAGUCGAAUGGUUAGCUUGCUAACCAUGGCGAACGGGUGAGUAACACGUAGGUAACCUGUCUUCAAGACGAGGAUAACCAUUGGAAACGAUGGAUAAUACUGGAUAGGACAAAUCCCCGCAUGAGGAGAUGUUUAAAGGAGCAAUCCACUUGAUGAGGGGCCUGCGGUGCAUUAGUUAGUUGGUGAGGUAACGGCCCACCAAGACGAUGAUGCAUAGCCGGACUGAGAGGUUGAACGGCCACAGUGGAACUGAGAACGGUCCAUACUCCUACGGGAGGCAGCAGUAGGGAAUUUUCGGCAAUGGGCGGAAGCCUGACCGAGCAAUGCCGCGUGAAUGAAGAAGUAUUUCGGUAUGUAAAGUUCUUUUAUUUGGGAAGAAAAACAAAUUGACGGUACCAAAUGAAUAAGCUCCGGCUAACUACGUGCCAGCCGCCGC